UAUCCAACAAUUCUGGGGUCAGGUGACCUGGGAUUAAAAACCCAGAUCUAGCCAUCACUUAAAGGUUACUAUAUAACUCCAAGCUUCCUUUUCAUUUGGGUAAGAAUAAGAUAGUUCUUAAUUUGUAAGGUUGUCUUGGGUUUUAAAUGAGAUAAUUCAGUGUCUGGCACAUAGUACUCAAUAAACAUUAUCAUUACCCAUUAUAACCCCAAGGAGGAAAACCAAUUCUUUAUGAGCUAAAAUUGGUGUUGAAUGAAGCUGCAUUUUUGUUAUCUUGAGAUAAUAAGAUAUUUUGAGAUAUCUUGGUUGGAGGUUUUCCCGUGGGAACAGUAUCAUCAUUUUAAGUGUGUGUGUGUGUGUGUGUGUGUGUGUGUUGUGUGUGUGUGUGUGAAUACAUUCAACCCAUUUUAUUGAGCACCUACUGCAGGCCUGGCAUUUUUCUAAGCAUGAGGAUAGAUGGAAAUCAAGAUAGGCUAGGUCUCUGUUCUCAAGGAUUCCUUGUUCAUGAAAAACAGCUUCUUAGUGUUUGUUGUUUGUUUGUUUGUUUGUUUGUUUUUUGCUUAUUUGCUGUUUCAGGAUAUGUUCAGCAUUUGGCAGGGUGAUGAGAGAUUAACACCCCAAGACAGAAUGAAAACCCGAGCUCUCAAGACUCUUCUCUUACGAAAAUGGAAAUGUUGGACUAUGGUUGGGAUCUUUGGAACAGAGGUCUGUGAUGUCUCCAAAAGACACAGAACCAAUUGCCUUCAAACAGCUAAGAUUCCAUCAGAACCUGGAGUGACAGAUCCCUUGGAUCUUCAAAGUCCUGGGCCUCUGAGUCAGUUAAGGGAGAUCUCUUGUUCUUUUUUAUAUAAUCCCAAUCAUGAGAUCUCUAAAGUCAACUGACUAAUAAAAAACUGUGCCUUCAUCA
Molecule: long non-coding RNA, 907 nt
Filed under: Felis catus (domestic cat)
Lineage: Eukaryota; Metazoa; Chordata; Mammalia; Carnivora; Felidae
Description: lncRNA (ENSFCAG00000045468.2)
Source: RNAcentral